RNAcentral lists this ribosomal RNA (207 nucleotides) under uncultured bacterium. Its description in RNAcentral is "partial 16S ribosomal RNA". It matches the Rfam family "Bacterial small subunit ribosomal RNA", at positions 568 to 774 of the family's 1533-position model. The record is from RNAcentral.
UGCGUAGGUGGCUGAGCAAGUCAAAGAUGAAAUCCCGGGGCCCACCCUCGGAACUGUCUUUGAAACUGCUUAGCUUGAGGAUAGUUGAGGAUAAUGGAAUUCCCGGUGGAGCGGUGAAAUGCGUAGAUAUCGGGAGGAACACCAGAGGCGAAGGCGAUUAUCUGGACUAUUCCUGACACUGAGGUACGAAAGCUAGGGGAGCGAACG